RNAcentral lists this ribosomal RNA (508 nucleotides) under uncultured bacterium. RNAcentral describes it as "partial 16S ribosomal RNA". It matches the Rfam family "Bacterial small subunit ribosomal RNA", at positions 28 to 523 of the family's 1533-position model. The record is from RNAcentral.
GAUGAACGCUAGCUACAGGCUUAACACAUGCAAGUCGAGGGGAAACGAUAUUGGAAGCUUGCUUCCGAUAGGCGUCGACCGGCGCAAGGGUGAGUAACGCGUAUCCAACCUGCCCAUCACUUGGGGAUAACCUUGCGAAAGUAAGACUAAUACCCAAUGAUAUCUCUAGAAGACAUCUGAAAGGGAUUAAUGAUUUCUCGGUGAUGGAUGGGGAUGCGUCUGAUUAGCUUGUUGGCGGGGUAACGGCCCACCAAGGCGACGAUCAGUAGGGGUUCUGAUAGGAAGGUCCCCCACAGAGGAACUGAGACACGGACCAAGCUCCUACGGGAGGCAGCAGUAAGGAAUAUUGGUCAAUGGACGAUAGUGUGAACCAGCCAAGUAGCGUGCAGGAUGACGGCCCUAUGGGUUGUAAAAUGCUUUUAUAAGGGAAUAAAGUGAGCCUCGUGAGGCUUUUUGCAUGUACCUUAUGAAUAAGGACCGGCUAAUUCCGUGCCAGCCGCCGCCGUAA